GUAAAGUAAACUAAAGGUAAGUUAUUAGGCUCAUAACCUAAUUAUGGGAGUUCGAGUCCCCCCUUUACA
RNAcentral lists this transfer RNA (69 nucleotides) under Physalia physalis. Its description in RNAcentral is "tRNA-Met". It matches the Rfam family "tRNA". From Rfam's summary of the family: Transfer RNA (tRNA) molecules are approximately 80 nucleotides in length. Their secondary structure includes four short double-helical elements and three loops (D, anti-codon, and T loops). Further hydrogen bonds mediate the characteristic L-shaped molecular structure. tRNAs have two regions of fundamental functional importance: the anti-codon, which is responsible for specific mRNA codon recognition, and the 3' end, to which the tRNAs corresponding amino acid is attached (by aminoacyl-tRNA synthetases). tRNAs cope with the degeneracy of the genetic code in two manners: having more than one tRNA (with a specific anti-codon) for a particular amino acid; and 'wobble' base-pairing, i.e. permitting non-standard base-pairing at the 3rd anti-codon position. Lineage: Eukaryota; Metazoa; Cnidaria; Hydrozoa; Siphonophorae; Physaliidae. RNAcentral also lists the same sequence under 1 other name. The record is from RNAcentral.